CGGAGAACUUUCUUCGGAAUGUUCUUAGUGGCGAACGGGUGAGUAACGCGUAGGCAACCUGCCCUCUGGUUGGGGACAACAUUCCGAAAGGGAUGCUAAUACCGAAUGUGAUCCUCUCUCCGCAUGGAGAGAGGAUGAAAGAUGGCCUCUACUUGUAAGCUAUCGCCAGAAGAUGGGCCUGCGUCUGAUUAGCUAGUAGGUGGGGUAACGGCUCACCUAGGCGAUGAUCAGUAGCCGGUCUGAGAGGAUGAACGGCCACAUUGGGACUGAGACACGGCCCAAACUCCUACGGGAGGCAGCAGUGGGGAAUCUUCCGCAAUGGACGAAAGUCUGACGGAGCAACGCCGCGUGAGUGAUGAAGGCCUUCGGGUUGUAAAACUCUGUUGUCAGGGACGAACGUGCCGAUCUACAAUACAUUUCGGCAGUGACGGUACCUGACGAGGAAGCCACGGCUAACUACGUGCCAGCAGCCGCGGUAAUACGUAGGUGGCAAGCGUUGUCCGGAAUUAUUGGGCGUAAAGAGCAUGUAGGCGGGCUUUUAAGUCCGACGUGAAAAUGCGGGGCUUAACCCCGUAUGGCGUUGGAUACUGGAAGUCUUGAGUGCAGGAGAGGAAAGGGGAAUUCCCAGUGUAGCGGUGAAAUGCGUAGAUAUUGGGAGGAACACCAGUGGCGAAGGCGCCUUUCUGGACUGUGUCUGACGCUGAGAUGCGAAAGCCAGGGUAGCAAACGGGAUUAGAUACCCCGGUAGUCCUGGCCGUAAACGAUGGGUACUAGGUGUAGGAGGUAUCGACCCCUUCUGUGCCGGAGUUAACGCAAUAAGUACCCCGCCUGGGGACUACGAUCGCAAGAUUGAAACUCAAAGGAAUUGACGGGGGCCCGCACAAGCGGUGGAGUAUGUGGGUUUAAUUCGACGCAACGCGAAGAACCUUACCAAGGCUUGACAUUGAGUGAAAGGCUUAG
RNAcentral lists this ribosomal RNA (960 nucleotides) under uncultured bacterium. RNAcentral's name for it is "bacterial SSU rRNA". It matches the Rfam family "Bacterial small subunit ribosomal RNA", at positions 67 to 1003 of the family's 1533-position model. The record is from RNAcentral.